UGGGGGAUAUUGCACAAUGGGCGAAAGCCUGAUGCAGCGACGCCGCGUGGGGGAUGAAGGCCUUCGGGUUGUAAACUUCUUUUGCUCUGAACAAGGCAUGCCUUUGGGGUGUGUUGAGUGUAGGGGUUGAUUAGCGCCGGCUAACUACGUGCCAGCAGCCGCGGUAAUACGUAGGGCGCGAGCGUUGUCCGGAAUUAUUGGGCGUAAAGGGCUUGUAGGUGGCUGGUUGCGUCUGUCGUGAAAGCUCAUGGCUUAACUGUGGGUUUGCGGUGGGUACGGGCUGGCUUGAGUGCAGUAGGGGAGGCUGGAAUUCCUGGUGUAGCGGUGGAAUGCGCAGAUAUCAGGAGGAAUACCGGCGGCGAAGGCGGGUCUCUGGGCUGUUACUGACGCUGAGGAGCGAAAGCGUGGGGAGCGAACAGG
RNAcentral lists this ribosomal RNA (420 nucleotides) under Fusobacteriota bacterium. RNAcentral describes it as "Fusobacteria bacterium partial 16S ribosomal RNA". It matches the Rfam family "Bacterial small subunit ribosomal RNA", at positions 355 to 776 of the family's 1533-position model. Lineage: Bacteria; Fusobacteriati; Fusobacteriota. The record is from RNAcentral.